UUCGAGGGGCUCCCGGUGGGUGGUGGUACAAACGCUGCGGCCGCCGCCGCCGCCGGUCCUGCUGCUGUUGUUGCUGCUGCAGUCACGUGGGAGCCCCUUUAAGUUUCCAUAGAGAGGCCUCUCCGGUGUCACAUGAUGGACAUGAUAUAAUGAAACAACAUUGUGGAGAGGAAAGCAUUAGGGGAGCCCACGGCUACAAAACAAGUGCGUGAGAAGAGGUGGGAGAAAAAGAAACUACGCCACCUCUGCAGCCGAGCGCACGCAGCAGCCUGGCGUGACAAGUGGGCGACGCCGGGGGCAGGGAGUGGGGGUCCUCCGCCCGCUCCGGGGACCCUGUCGCCCACCGUGCGCAGAGCAACUUUUAACCGGCAGCCCCGCACCUGUCUCAGAGUCUCCAUCGCUCCCCACCACCAUCCUGGGAAAAUUCUAGAAGAAUACGCUCUCGGAAUCUAUGUGCGCAUCAUUUUCCCCCUCGCUCCGGAGGAAGGAACCAGAAAAGAGAGCAAAGCGGUGUCGCGUUCAGCCUCAAGAACCACCAUGUGUCCCAGGGACGGGACCCUCUACAGGAGGAUUUUCGUUCAGGAAUCUCUUAACUGCAUCUCGUUGCUUCUUCGGAUUAGAAGAAUUGAGCUAACAGGAAUCUGCAACCUCUCUGCCUUGCUGAUCCACCUAGGCAAGGCUCACUGGUUUGCAGGAGUGUGUGACCACAAAACAGAGCCACUGCAGGCUGCAAAAAUACCUGACUCUGGGCACUCAGGAAGACUCAAGCAGAGAUGGGGAGCCGGCCUGCCAGCUGGGAUGCCAGAGCUCACUUGAGGCUCUCCAUUUAGCUAGGAGGUUUCCAGGGCAACCACCGAAGCAGUAACUAAAGGAGCUAAAAGAGAGAAAAAUCACCGCAACUUGGUCUCUUUUUCACGGAACACAAUAAGCCACCAAAGAGGUGUGGACAGCCUACGACUUCCAUGGAAAUCGCGAAGAUGUCCUUUCUGUUCCUCAUCUGCCUUCUGCCCUGCCCCUGGUCAGCAAGUGACCAACUCAGAGGACCAGCCUGUCGUUCAGGAACAAGUGACAGACAAAGGAGGCAAAGAGGGACAGGUGCUGGCCAGAUUCGGUGACGAACAAGCCUGAUUCAGUGAGGGUGAGUGCCAGCAGUCCAUCUCCCGAGCCUUGCUGGAUGGCCGGACUUCUUCAGUUAAGUCAAAGCAAGUAAAGCCAAUGUGGUGUGUUCAUUUUCAGAUUGAAACAGGCCUAAUACAGAGAAGAAAUAACUUGGAAACAAACAUCAAAGAAGGAUAGUGGAAACGAUAUGCGAGAGAGAGAGAGAGAGAGAGAGAGAGAGAGAGAGAGAGAGUGUGUGUGUGUGUGUGUGUGUGUGUGUGGUGUGUAUGCGCUUUUGUGAGUAUGUGUGUGUGUCUGUGGGUGAGUGAGUGUAUUAAAGAAGUUGUGAGCAUCAGAAAGCCCAGCUAGGCCCCGGCUCCCGGUGCCCUUGAGUGUGUUUGUUAGCUGCGCCGUGCUGUGGCACUGAGGGACAGCCUGCCAGGCCUGCUCUGUAAGCAGAUCUUUUGGCUCAGGCUUGUUCUCAGUGGUCAGCUUGUAUACUGGUUCUGCCUUCCCUUCCAACACAGAAAAGCCUGGGGAUGUUGAGGCUUGUUUUCUUUUUAGAAAUAGGUGGGAAUUUUUGCCUGUGCCUUUAAAAUGUACUCAUCUGCCCCACAGAUCUCUUGGGGUUGUCACCAUUUUAAGCCUGGACCAUGAAUUCUGAACAUGGACUGCAGCCGCUACAGAGCCCUGCAGGGACCACGCUCAGUAGGAAGGGAAAGCUGCUUUGCCCUUAGAACUCCUUCUGGGCAGAUGAAAAGUACGAUUAAGGUCUCCCAGGAGCGAGUCAUGUCCUUGGCAGCCUAGAGUGUGCACCGACACACAUACACACAUAUAACUACCUACAGCCACUUCCCACCUGGAGUGUGUACUCACACACACACAUACAUACCUACAGCCACUUCCCACCUGGAGUGUGCACCAACACACACACACACACCUACCUACAGCCACUUCCCACCUGGAGUGUGUACUCACACACACACACAUACCUACCGCCACUUCCCACCUGGAGUGUGCACCAAUACACACACACACACACAUACCUACAGCCACUUCCCACCUGGAGUAUGCACACACACACACACACCUACCUACAGCCACUUCCCACCUGGAGUGUGCACCGACACACACAUACACACAUACCUACAGCUACUUCCCACCUGGAGUGUGUAUUCACACAUACACACACACACCUACAGCCACUUCCCACCUGGAGUGUGCACCGACACACACACCCCUAUAGCCACUUCCCACCUGGAGUGUGCACUCUCACACACACACACACACCUAUAGCCACUUCCCACCUGGAGUGUGCACUCUCACACACACACACACACCUAUAGCCACUUCCCACCUGGAGUGUGCACUGACAGACACACACCUAUAGCCACUGACACACACACACACAAGCACACACUGACACACUCCACUGACAGCCACUUCCUACCUGGAGUUUUUGUGUUGUUGAUUUAAUAUCCCAUCCAGGUUCAAGUAUUUAUGACAGGAAUGUGUGUGAAUGCUUAAGAUAGUAAGUAGUACUUGGUCUUUUGACUAUAGUGCAACCUGGAAUAGCAAACUUUUAGGUGGGGGAAGUUCUGGCUUUAUAAAUGUAACAUGGGUCAGUUUUCCAGAAUCUUUUGUAUAGUUGUUAUUCUGUCUUAACUGAAACUAAAACCAGAAUGAUCUGUUCAACUUCCUUUUCCAUCUUGCUUGUUAGUAUCCUUGGUUUAGGAAGACAUUUUUAAGUGUUUUCUUUUUUGUGACCCAACAUACUACAGACCCAUUAGAGCGUGGCGGGGGAGGAGAGGGAGAUGAACACUGGGUAAGUGGGCCACUACCAAGUAGCAGUGACGAUUCUGUGUGGAACAUUCUAGACCAAGUGUGAGUAAGUGUACGUGCCAAUGAAAUAAGGGAUGGCUUUUUGCUUGAAGAGUGAAAGUCUCCAGGACUAAGGAGACUCUCGUGCCACCUUAGACAACCUGUUCUGCAGGCACCAGAGAGAGGCAGCUCGGUGAGAACCAGGGACACAGCCGAACAGGUUCAGAGAAGAACCACACGGACCCUGAGUCUGUUCCUAAUCUGCAGAACUGCUUCCUGAAGGAGCUUUCCCCGAGAACGAAUUCACAAGCAAAGAAGGCUUCUUCCUUUCGAGGCCUGGUGGGGCAGGGGCCAUGCCUAGCUCACUGUUCGUGCUUCCAGGGGUGAACGGGCAUUGGACAGAUCAAAGCUUCUGGCUCGGAGCCCCAGUCUGGCUCCACCACGUCCUUGAGCAAGGAUGUAGAUGUGAAGGGCCCGACCUGAAUACCAACACAAGUUGACCGCGAAGCCCCCUAAUCCAUCCUGGUUGAGGACAGGUCCUCUGAAUCCUUCUCUCCUGUUUAGCAUCACAGAUCCAGCAGGCAGGCAGUGUAUAAGGCCCACAGAGCUAUUGGCUGUGGACAGACUGACCUACCUCUUCAUUCUAGACUUGUUAGCAUGUAGUUGUUAAAACUUAAAGUUUCUAGAAAGCCGCAUUGGCAAAUAACAAGUUCAAAAGUCACGCUGUGGCUUCAAGGCAGUUCCCAUAGUGCUUUGCCACUCACGAACCUCAUAGAGGUGGCCAGCAGGCUCUGGGGUACAAGUCAAGGUCAAGGUCCCGCUGUUCACUGAUUGGCCAGCCUUAGGCCGGUCCCCAGGCUCCCUUGCAUCCCUUAUCUGUAGCAUGGGUUAAUAGUAGACUUAGCCUGUAGGGUUGCCCAGAGAAUCCCUCGAGUAGCGCAGGAAGCAGGCCUAUGUGUCACCAGAUGAUUAAAUUGGCUUAAUUAGGCUGGGCGGCCUUCGAAAGAGAAGAUCCGCAAAAGGAGCUGGAACCCUGAGCUGGCGCCCUACCCAAAUGAGGCCACCAUGUCUCCCGUCCGUAAAGGCACUAGGCAAAGAGUUCGCUUCUUUCUGUUGUUUAAAGGGGAACUUUGAGUAAAUGUUAAGUAGACGGAGCGCUUUUGUAUCAGGGUUUUAUUUUGUUUGGAGAGGGAGGACUCUGUACACUUGAGUGGUGCCCACAAUAAUGCAGAUGGCAGGAAGGCGUGGAGCAGCCUAGGAACCCAGUCACAUUCUGAGUGUCUAGCCUUAGAGCACCCAGCAAACACAUCCCUCAAGUACGGUGUGACCUUCAGAACUGCCCUAGGCUUGGUGUGUGUGGUGUGCGACCCGUGCCCUCCCCAGCCUCUGCUGCGUGGCCUUCUAUCUCGGCAUUAUGUUCCUUCUUCUUCUGACAGUUCUGCACUGACCUCCCAGCACUGUCCCGUCAGCAGUCAGAGACAGGGCAGGACCAGCCACUCCCGCAGUUGCUGAUGGCAGAGGCUUGUGUCCCCUCCUCUGGUCUUGACACAUACCCCUCCCCAACCACUCUCGCCCAAAGUGAAGACUCAUUCUCAGCUGGAAAAAUGAAAGGCAAGACAAGCUCUUAAGAACAAGCUAGCCUUUCUCUAGUGCAUGGUGUCCUCAGAAGGAGCCCUGCUGUGACGGAUCCUCUCCCUCUGCCAUGAGUCUGAGCAGCCCUGCUGUCUGCAGCUCCGACUCCCUCUACGUGGCAUAAAUUAAUAGGCUUGGCAAAAUGCCAAACACCACACUUGGCUGGCAGCUUCAAAGGACACCUUAGUGUUGGAUGAUGUGCAGGCUGCUGUUAAUGUGACUGUCCCCCAAUCAGAUCUGAAAACAGUUUCUCCUGGGAAUCUAGGGGAUGGCAAUAGCCUCUCUUUAAUGCCAUCUGGUAGGAAAGGGGAUUUUUAUGUUUGAAAUUUUGGAAUAAACAAAAACAACUUUCUCUUAACUGCAAGGGUUAAUGCUCCAGUCAGCUUCAGAUGGGUUCUCUUGAAUCUUAAAAUUACUUUUCUGGUCACGCGCUCAGAAGGUCUAAGAAUUUGUGGAUCUCACCCCUACCCCACCCCACCCCCAUCCCAAAUGCUAUUCUCUUUGGCUGUCUUAAUUACACAGGGGUUGGGAAACCAAAUUAAAACUAGGCGUGGCUGGGUAAACAGCGAUCACAUUGCAGGCUUUUAGCUUUGCUCUUGGAGUUGUCUCUCCUCCCCUGUAGCUCUGCUUUUCACUUCUUAUUUUUCUGAAGGAAAUAGCAUAGGGUCUUUUGGAAGUAGUCACAGGAAGUGGGACUCCGAGGCUGGUUACUCAGCAGCCUCGGAGUCCUGACAGGUGGCAAAUACCGCUGCCUCCCUCCCGAUUGAUGUGAAACUAGCCCCCAGAGAGGCGAGCAUGAGGCUGGGUGCACAGCCCAAAGGGCUUUUUGUCCACCAAGUGGCUUUCACGAGGAGACUGGUCAUGGCAUGUCAUCUAAGUGGGGGGUGACUCAGAGCUGAGCUGGGGUCGCUACACGCACGUGGUAACCAGUCUGGAGUUUCUGCUCAGUUCUCAGAGUACAGGCGGUCUCCUAAAAAUGAUCUCUCCCUCCCACCCCCGACAGCCGUCCUUUCUCAGUGAGUCACUUCCAGAAAUGAAUAGCCGCAGAUUUUGGAAUGAGCAUUGUGAAAUCCCUCGUUUAUAAUGGCAGGUUUUCAGUUGGUGGCUUGAUCAGACAUUUUCUCAAGAUGAAAAUGAGACCUUGUCUUUAAAAAGAAAAAAAAAAAAAGAAAGUAAGCCCUGAGGAUUCAGAAAGCAAAAGUCUCCCACUGAAGAACUGUCAGCCGCUCUUGCCUUCAGUGUCAAGCUGUGAGUCCUUAGAUUUGCCUGCAUGGAUGAGUUCUUGGAAUUGCCGACCUCUCACCAGUAGUGGCUGGUGGUUUCCGAUGCAGAAGGUUACUAACUACUUGAAUCAGCUCUCUUCUGGGUGAGUAGGUGGUAGUUUCCCAAGGUGUUCAGCAGCUAGAGCCGUGGAUUUAAAAGGCUGCUGGCAGCUUUGCACACUUCUGCUUCCUGAAGCCCAGUGGAUGGUACUGCCGGCCAGCAUGAGGACCCCGAGGUGUGUUUUAACAGUGUGGAUGAUUUUUAUAACCACUCUGUCUUUUGAAUAUGGAGAUCUUUUGAGGAGGAGAAAGUAUUUUUGCAGAAGGAAGUGGUUUUUUUGGGGGGGGGACUUUCAGAGGUGUAAUUAUUGAGUUUCUAUGUUUAUUUUAAGCACCAAGACCCUUCUUUGGGGGUGAAGGAGAUAAAAGUACUUACAUGGUCUUAACAGAGAAGUUUUACUAAUUCUAAUGCAGCUAUAUGGCACUACUAACAGUACGCUCUGUCAAAGAAUACUAACCCCAUCGAAGACUGGCUAAUCUGACAGUAUCUUUUCUGGGUCUACCAGGCCCCAUGGGCUCCUGGGUUAGUGGGAGCACUUUGUGCAGGGCAGAGAGAAGGAGUCCAGUUACUGGAAGGGGGGGAGUGUAGCUGUAGGGACUGUUCUCUCAAGUGGAUCACUUGCUUGACCUACUGACUCAUUUCAUAGGAAUUGGAAAACAACUUAAUGUGGUUUUAUUGUUGAUACUCAAGGACUACAGGAUCCCCAGGCCUGGGAGGAAGGUGGUGCUGGCACCCGUGCCUUCUGCUGGCCUGCUCUCUGCUGUUCUCGUGAAAUUCAGUCCUCUGCUUCCAGGACAAGCCCAGCCUGCACUUGGGGUGACCAUUCAACCGUGAGUAUUUUUUUUUUGAAGCUCACUGAUUCUUGCUUAGAAACUUGUAAUUGGCAUUCUGUAGAAGGAAGAGCUUCAAACUAUGAUCAUAACUACAGAAGCACACAUGACCUACAGACAACCAUGGACGCUCAGAAUUAAGAUUUAUUCUUUUAUUUUCAUAGCAUGUACACUAAAAAUGAAGUUGUAGUUUUAUCUUACUUAAAGCAAAACAUGAGGUAGAUCAGAUAGAUACUCAUUUGAGGAAGUAAUAUGGUCAUGGCCAUAAAGACUUGUGAUCCCUGAUGCUUCGCUUUCCCACCAAGGCUGGCAAAUAAGCCUCAGAAGGGAACAAAGGAAGCGCUUUGAUGCUGUGUAAGAGCAGACUUAGAGCAGAUCCCCUGAGCUGUGUAUGUUACUCUCUGUGUUAGCUCUGCUGUCUGCCUCUUCUGAUCACAUCCUUAAUCAGCGGAAAGGAUGCUUGAUAGGCAAUUGCUGUGGGUGUUCUUAUGGGUACAUCUACUGUGUUAUGUCCGUUUAUUGAGUAUACUAAGUUAUGUCCUAAUGUUUCAGAGUUAGAGUUAUCAGUCUGUUCUAGAUUCUAGCCCUCCUCGCUGUCCCCACCCCAGAUUCUGACAGAAGCUCUGAACCACAUCAUUAUCUUUAACCACAUCAUUAUACUUUUGCUUGCACGUGGAGACAUCCACAGAAAUGGAGCUGCACCAGGUAUAGGAGGCUGGGCUGGACUCUGGGGCCUAUUCCUACUGGGCAGUUAGGCUACCCAAAGUACUGCUGCUAAAAGCAGGAAAUACUCAGGUGGAAGUCACUCCAUGUGGCUGCUGGGUGGAGAACCAGAACCAGAGAGAAAGACAACAGGGUGGAGAACACAUGACUAAGUAAAUAUUAGAUGGUUGAUAAUCAUCAGGGCUGUCACAUGUGGAGCCCAGAAUCCCUGUCUGAUUAGCCAAGUGCAUCUAUAAAGGAAUAUGAGUUUAGGUAGAGAGCUAAGGACUCAUCAUAAAUCACUUUGACUAGUUGCAUAUGCCACCAAAUCAGGUAGGGUGACCUGAACUUGAAGGUGUAAUUCAUAACAAAUUGGAGAGGUAGUUACAUGCCUGGAAGAAAUGCGGUAGGGAUAAGCGUAUGAGGAACAGGCUGAUAGAAAAGGAACAGUGUUUGAAAAAAAAAAUACAGCCCUUAUUGUUCAUGAGCUACAUUGAAACCAGUCCCGUGAGGCCAUUGUGGAAAAAGAAGCCAUGGCUGUGUUAAAAAGGAGUGUACCACAGUGGUUAGGAGGGGCAAACAGUGUUAGCCAGACUCAGCGUACUCAGUUUGAGUCACGUUGGAAGAAAGAUGUACAGCGAUUAUGAAGUGCUGAUACACGGUCAACAGAAAGUACAUACCCUUCUAGGAAAAGAUAAAGGGACCGGGGGCCUUAGUGUCAAGGGGUGGGGAGAAUUGUUGCUGAGAGUCCUGUGUAGUAACUGCGUGGUUUCUCUGGUCUCCGGGGCCUCCAUGCUGCCCACUUGGUCUUCAUUUGCAGCACAGCGUACAGCUAGCUGCUGGUUUGGGAAAGCUUGUGCCCCUUUCAUGAUACACUCCUGCAAGUAAACACAUCCAGACAAAUCCAAAGAACUGUGGUCCUGACACAGGAAUAAUCAAUACAUUUUCUGGCUGUGAUAAAUUGGUAAGAAAGGUGAUAAAAUAGUUGAGCUUAGGCAUGGGAUGACAUCUCUGGUGAUAAUUUUCUAAAGAUGAAAGGUAUUUUGAGUGGUAGAACGUUUAUGUCUUCAACACGUGGGACCCACUAUGAUAGGCAGGUUCAAAAGGAAGAUGACAGUGCCUGAUUACACUGCUGUGGGGACAUAAAGCAGCAUGUGGUGGGGCUUGUGGCAUUCAACCACCACCCCAUGUGGCUUCCUGAUGGAGUUGAAGUCCAGGCUUACCCCCAAAGGGCAGCCAUUGAGGUUUGCAAGAUGAAGGAGUUAGUGGUGAGCCAUCCCCCUGAGGCCCAGGUACCUAGGGGCAUGGACCUAGGAGGUGUGGCAGAAGACUUUGGGGUAACCACUGUGAGCAACAGGACUAGUGCACCACACCAGGUGCCCUGGAGAUUCCCAAGAGCAUGCAUGGUGAGGUGUAUGACUUGAAAGGAAGAGCAGGCAGCAGUUAAGAGGACUUGGUUGGGCAACAGGUUGAGCAAGGUAAAGAGGCUCCUGACUCAGCAGAGCUGUGAUGAGUGUGUUUGAAGGUAGUGGAUUCCAGAGAGAGGAGUGAGCAGGUGGAUAAGGCAAAGUCAGCAUAACGGCUUAGUUACUGUGUACUGUCACCCACUGUGGACCCGUGACACGAGAUCCCAGAAGAAAGUACAAGCCCAAGCCUGGAGGAAGAAGAGGUGGCAUUGGGACACAAUAGAGCACACACUGGCUAGGUCAAUGGAGAUGGGAGACGGAGCGGGAAGUUGGCGUAGUGGAUGUGGACUACAAAUCAAAUGAGUAUUGCGGUCUUGACUAGUGUGUAGACCUGUCUCCAAAGCAUUUGGGGGGAGAGGGGGCAGAGAGAGAGAGGGAGAGAAUGUGAGAGAGAGAGAGAGAGAGAGAGGAGAGAGAGAGAA
Apodemus sylvaticus (European woodmouse) is the source of this 9294-nucleotide long non-coding RNA. RefSeq lists it as uncharacterized. The record is from RefSeq and is a predicted model, not a curated record. The transcript is spliced from 6 exons. NCBI's taxonomy places the organism in Eukaryota, Metazoa, Chordata, Mammalia, Rodentia, Muridae.